RNAcentral lists this ribosomal RNA (528 nucleotides) under Neusticurus arekuna. RNAcentral describes it as "partial 16S large subunit ribosomal RNA". It matches the Rfam family "Bacterial large subunit ribosomal RNA", at positions 1836 to 2636 of the family's 2925-position model. Lineage: Eukaryota; Metazoa; Chordata; Lepidosauria; Squamata; Gymnophthalmidae. The record is from RNAcentral.
GCACAAAGUAUUAAAGGUAACGCCUGCCCAGUGAUAUUUAAACGGCCGCGGGAUCCUCACCGUGCAAAGGUAGCAUAAUCACUUGUCACCUAAAUAGUGACUAGUAUGAACGGCCAAAUGAAGAUUUUACUGUCUCUUGUAACCAGCCCAUGAAACUAUUCUUUCAGUCCAAAAACUGAAAUUAAAACAUAAGACGAAAAGACCCUGUGGAACUUAAACUACCACCCAAACAUAAUGGUCACACACUUUUAGUUGGGGCAACUUUGGAACAAAACAAAACUUCCAAUAACUACACUAGAGACAAACCUGUCGACACCGACCACCGACCCAGUAACACUGAUCAAAGAACCAAGCUACCCCAGGGAUAACAGCGCCAUCCCCUCAUAGAGCCCAAAUCGAAGAGCGGGGUUUACGACCUCGAUGUUGGAUCAGGGCCCCCAAACAGUGCAACAGCUGUUAAAGGUUUGUUUGUUCAACAACUAACGCCCUACGCGAUCUGAGUUAAGACCGGAGCAAUCCAGGUCGGUU